UUAGUUGGCGGCCAUCUUGGAUCUACCCAUCAAACAAACCACCCUUACUUUUGGGAUGAGAGGGAGGUCUUUAACCGAAUUUGAGUCUUUCGGGGUACCAGCCCCAUCGGAAAGCGGAGCAGUGAGUGUCAGAAGCCGAAAAUCUACAGGAACCCAAGGCUUCAAAAAUUGGCUGCAAAUUCUGAGACUGGUUUUACGUGAACUCCUUCCUCCCAUAUUCCUUGUCUGGACGUUCUGUGAAUUGGUUAAGGACCAGUGAACUAUCAGAACCACGUUUAUUGAGCUUUUACAAUAGAGUCGUUCCCGAAAAACGGAUUGUUAUAUUUUGGAGCUCGGGGUUAUGGUUUGUUUUUGGACAACUUUUUGGGGGGAAUAGCCUUUGUCGCAAUCUGUCCCACCGGUGUAUUCUGUACAGUAAUGCGGUUCGAUCAUUUAUUUAAUGAAUCGAUGUUCUAGACAUCUUCCGGCGUAUGUUUUGCUGGAACUUGGCUGUGGCGUUGCGUUAAUGUGGGUGAACGAAUCCAUGAUCUUAAAUAUCAUUUCUAAGGUGCAGCAAAAGCAAAAAGCAGACGCAGAACCACUUCGGGGAUCAAGGAAUUAUUAAAAUGUCAACCAGAACGCCACUACCUACUGUCAAUGAGCGUGACACUGAAAAUCACACCUCGCACGCUGAUGGGCGCAAUGAGGUGACCACGCGACCCGGGCGCUCGGGCUCCCGCUGCCGGAACUCUAUCGCCUCGUGUGCCGACGAGCAGCCGCACGUUGGAAACUAUCGGCUGCUCAAGACCAUCGGCAAGGGAAACUUCGCCAAGGUCAAGCUGGCACGCCACAUCCUCACGGGCAGAGAGGUUGCCAUUAAAAUCAUUGACAAGACACAACUGAAUCCUACCAGUCUUCAAAAGUCAAUACAGGCUGGUUGCGUAUCGACUGGUGUUGGAGUGGACACUGAAGGGAGAGAGACUGGGACGAGGGAACAGAAGAGACUUGCCUUCAUGUGUUGUUUGUGCCAUUCGCCACAAAAAUCCCUUACCGCCUGGAGUCUAUAUGGGAUUCAAAGAGGCAAAGGAUGUAAUGGGCCUAUUGUAAUUACUCUGAUGAUUCGGCUUCACAGACCGACCUUGUCAAACCAAUUUGUCAAAUUACUCUAAUAAUUGCUGUUUAAACCAGUACAACCUAUUUUGUUAAUGUUGCCAAAUCACUGUAAUAUAUGCCAUUUGAAACGGUACCAUAUUUUUUGUAACUAUCUACUAUAAAUGAUCCAUUACAGUUUGCCACAUGAGAUAGUGUUGUGUAUGAAAUAUAGCGAUCAGAUAAAUGUUUCAGUAACAUAUGAAUACUAAAGGUAAAUUGGUAAAAGCCAACAACAUUCUAGACUAUGUAAUGACAUGAUUAAUGAACCGGCAAAGACAAUUCUAAAAAUGUUUACAACACAAUACUGAUAGUAUAGACAAGGCAUUCGCACAAUGGAUUUUGUCAAAAUAAAAAAUGCUACAGGUUGAUAAUGACCA
Oncorhynchus masou masou (cherry salmon) is the source of this 1508-nucleotide long non-coding RNA. RefSeq lists it as uncharacterized. The record is from RefSeq and is a predicted model, not a curated record. NCBI's taxonomy places the organism in Eukaryota, Metazoa, Chordata, Actinopteri, Salmoniformes, Salmonidae. The transcript is spliced from 4 exons.